RNAcentral lists this ribosomal RNA (497 nucleotides) under uncultured bacterium. RNAcentral's name for it is "partial 16S ribosomal RNA". It matches the Rfam family "Bacterial small subunit ribosomal RNA", at positions 28 to 507 of the family's 1533-position model. The record is from RNAcentral.
GAUGAACGCUGGCGGCGUGCCUAAUACAUGCAAGUCGAGCGAACGGACGAGAAGCUUGCUUUUCUGAUGUUAGCGGCGGACGGGUGAGUAACACGUGGAUAACCUACCUAUAAGACUGGGAUAACUUCGGGAAACCGGAGCUAAUACCGGAUAAUAUUUUGAACCGCAUGGUUCAAAAGUGAAAGACGGUCUUGCUGUCACUUAUAGAUGGAUCCGCGCUGCAUUAGCUAGUUGGUAAGGUAACGGCUUACCAAGGCAACGAUGCAUAGCCGACCUGAGAGGGUGAUCGGCCACACUGGAACUGAGACACGGUCCAGACUCCUACGGGAGGCAGCAGUAGGGAAUCUUCCGCAAUGGUCGAAAGCCUGACGGAGCAACGCCGCGUGAGUGAUGAAGGUCUUCGGAUCGUAAAACUCUGUUAUUAGGGAAGAACAUAUGUGUAAGUAACUGUGCACAUCUUGACGGUACCUAAUCAGAAAGCCACGGCUAACUACGUG